Molecule: long non-coding RNA, 551 nt
Filed under: Amborella trichopoda
Lineage: Eukaryota; Viridiplantae; Streptophyta; Magnoliopsida; Amborellales; Amborellaceae
Description: long non-coding RNA (ATRI_LNC001548)
Source: RNAcentral
UUGAAAGCCAAUUGUUGUUUGUGUUAUUCCCAUUCUCUCAUCUCCUUAUCCAAUCCCUUCUUUAAAGAGAGCCAUGUAUGUGAGAAUCUUGUACAGUCUAGUCUUUCUUUCUAUCUCUUGUGCUUCUCUAAAGCUUUGCCAUUUCCUGCUAAAACCACUGCUAAAACCAUUGAUUGGCUAGUAGGUGUGGUGGUUUAUCAUAAUGGGUGGCCAUACAAGAUGUUGUAUACAUGUCUCAAUGUAAGAAGAUAUAUGGAUUGAUUUUUUGAUGUAUUUUCAGGUUGUUUGUCUAGAACUCAUUCUUUUGCUUUUGUAUCUCCAUUUCUAAGUAAUUAAAAGAUUCGAUGCUCCCGCCGGUAUAAGCUCCCUCAGUAGAAAACCUAUAUCGGAGUAGUUUUAGGACCACGAACUUCCUAGAUGUAGACUCCUCAAUUCAGCUACCAGCCACCAAAAAAAACGAAAAGAAAAGAUAAGUCAUAUGCACACUGAAAAUAAUGAAGUCCUAAGAUUGAGUGAAGACCAUCCAAAAUUUUGGACAUAUAUAUAUAUAG